Molecule: ribosomal RNA, 253 nt
Filed under: uncultured bacterium
Lineage: Bacteria
Description: partial 16S ribosomal RNA
Rfam family: Bacterial small subunit ribosomal RNA
Source: RNAcentral
UACGUAGGGGGCGAGCGUUGUCCGGAUUUAUUGGGCGUAAAGAGCGUGUAGGCGGCCAGGUAGGUCUGCUGUGAAAACUCGAGGCUCAACCUCGAGACGUCGGCGGAAACCAUCUGGCUAGAGUCCGGAAGAGGAGAGUGGAAUUCCUGGUGUAACGGUGAAAUGCGCAGAUAUCAGGAGGAACACCGGUGGCGAAGGCGGGUCUCUGGGCCGAUAUCGACGCUGAGGAGCGAAAGCGUGGGGAGCGAACAGG